UGAAAUAAGCAGUGGCAUUAAUGUCAUUUGUGACAGAUACAUUCCUGAUUGAAGUGUGGUGCUGAUUUGUACUUUGAAGGGUAGUUUGAAAAAAGUUUGUGCACUUGUUUGCUGAGUUUUGUUAGUGUAACCCCUUUUUCACAAGGGAAGAUAAAUCCUCUCUCCUCCCACCAUUUGGGCUCAAUCAGACAUUUUUGUUUCUUUCUGCUUCAUUACAGCAACUGAUAUAGGCCAACUCUCCCUUUUUCCAAGGCAAGAUCUAUUUGGACAUCUAUACCUGAAAGGACAUCAAAGAGGAAGGCAAGCUUUCCUAAUAAUAAUAAUAAUAAUAAUAUAAAUAAAUAAAUUUGCAGAUAGCAUGGGAUAGAAAUUAUCCCUGAUGGACUGCAAAAGAAAAUACAAUAAUGGGACAAAGGUGCAUGAUAUGAAUGUAAUAUCUGAGGUCUCUUUAUGUUGUCUUUCAUUUUAUUUUGUUUUUGCAUGUUUAGACUGUAGCCUUCUGGGGACAGGAGUUUUCCUUGCUAUGGAGAGAGAGAGAGAGAGAGACAGAGGCUUAUUAUCAGAGUUAUUACUAGAAGACCAGCUGAGGACACGGAGAGCAAAGAUACCUUUCCCAGAAUGCAUAUACACUUGAUUCUGGACAAGACAGAGAAGGUCAAGAAGAAAACAAUGUAAUGUGGAACUGCUUCGAUACUCCACUCUUUUGUCUCCGUGUGUGGUCCUGUAUUACAAAAUUCGGGCAGCGUGUUGCCCUAGUGGAUGAAAAGUGAGGUAAGAAGAUUGUUCUUGAUGAUCCUGAUGAUCCAUUCUUCCAUUCUCUCAUAAACUGACUUAUGGACAUAAUUUAAAAGUGAGUUGAAAUGAGAAAAGUACUAACUGCCAGAUCUCCCUAAAUGUAGUUAUAGGGCAUGUCAGCACGUAUACAUUAUGAAAGUUGCCUUACAAAAAUACUCAAUAUUUGCAAUUUAUAAGUGAGAACUUCUAUUAAACUAUUUAAAAGUAAUUUUCCAUUUGGACUUAAAAAGCUUAUACUACAUGGUGGCACUGGAGAUUUUCUAGUCUUUCAUGGUCCUAAUGAAGGCAUCCAUAAACCCAAAACACAUGUAAAUUGUGUCAGAUUACAUAAAUUUUUCAUGCAUCUGUUAGUAUUAAUGAUGCAACACACUAUUUAUUUCAUUUUUAAAUGAAUUUUCAGAAAGCCAAGAUAAAGAAGGCCACUAAUAUGAGGGUUUUGUUUCCUCUAAUAAAUCAUAGCGUUUGAUUUGUCA
RNAcentral lists this long non-coding RNA (1268 nucleotides) under Anas platyrhynchos platyrhynchos (common mallard). RNAcentral describes it as "lncRNA (ENSAPLG00000021262.1)". The record is from RNAcentral. Lineage: Eukaryota; Metazoa; Chordata; Aves; Anseriformes; Anatidae.